RNAcentral lists this ribosomal RNA (488 nucleotides) under uncultured bacterium. RNAcentral describes it as "partial 16S ribosomal RNA". It matches the Rfam family "Bacterial small subunit ribosomal RNA", at positions 28 to 507 of the family's 1533-position model. The record is from RNAcentral.
GACGAACGCUGGCGGCGUGCUUAACACAUGCAAGUCGAACGCGCCUGUCCUCUGGGUUUCUGGGGGGUGGGUGAGUGGCGAACGGGUGAGUAACACGUGAGUAACCUGCCCCCUUCUUCGGGAUAACGGUCUGAAAGGGCUGCUAAUACCGGGUAUUCACUGGUCUCCGCAUGGGGUCUGGUGGAAAGGUUUUUUUCUGGUGGGGGAUGGGCUCGCGGCCUAUCAGCUUGUUGGUGGGGUGAUGGCCCACCAAGGCUUUGACGGGUAGCCGGCCUGAGAGGGUGACCGGUCACAUUGGGACUGAGAUACGGCCCAGACUCCUACGGGAGGCAGCAGUGGGGAAUAUUGCACAAUGGGCGCAAGCCUGAUGCAGCGACGCCGCGUGAGGGAUGGAGGCCUUCGGGUUGUGAACCUCUUUCGCCCGUGGUCAAGCCGCGACGUGGGUCGUGGUGAGGGUAGUGGGUAAAGAAGCGCCGGCUAAUUACGUG